Molecule: ribosomal RNA, 551 nt
Filed under: uncultured bacterium
Lineage: Bacteria
Description: partial 16S ribosomal RNA
Rfam family: Bacterial small subunit ribosomal RNA
Source: RNAcentral
AGGGAAUCUUCCACAAUGGACGCAAGUCUGAUGGAGCAACGCCGCGUGAGUGAAGAAGGUUUUCGGACCGUAAAGCUCUGUUGUUGGUGAAGAAGGAUAGAGGUAGUAACUGGCCUUUAUUUGACGGUAAUCAACCAGAAAGUCACGGCUAACUACGUGCCAGCAGCCGCGGUAAUACGUAGGUGGCAAGCGUUGUCCGGAUUUAUUGGGCGUAAAGCGAGCGCAGGCGGAAGAAUAAGUCUGAUGUGAAAGCCCUCGGCUUAACCGAGGAAUUGCAUCGGAAACUGUUUUCUUGAGUGCAGAAGAGGAGAGUAGAACUCCAUGUGUAGCGGUGGAAUGCGUAGAUAUAUGGAAGAAUACCAGUGGCGAAGGCGGCUCUCUGGCCUGCAACUGACGCUGAGGCUCGAAAGCAUGGGUAGCGAACAGGAUUAGAUACCCUGGUAGUCCAUGCCGUAAACGAUGAGUGCUAAGUGUUGGGAGGCUUCCGCCUCUCAGUGCUGCAGCUAACGCAUUAAGCACUCCGCCUGGGGGAGUACGACCGCAAGGUUGAA